This 2930-nucleotide ribosomal RNA is filed under the name Escherichia coli. RNAcentral's name for it is "bacterial LSU rRNA". It matches the Rfam family "Bacterial large subunit ribosomal RNA". The record is from RNAcentral. Lineage: Bacteria; Pseudomonadati; Pseudomonadota; Gammaproteobacteria; Enterobacterales; Enterobacteriaceae.
GGGUUGUGAGGUUAAGCGACUAAGCGUACACGGUGGAUGCCCUGGCAGUCAGAGGCGAUGAAGGACGUGCUAAUCUGCGAUAAGCGUCGGUAAGGUGAUAUGAACCGUUAUAACCGGCGAUUUCCGAAUGGGGAAACCCAGUGUGAUUCGUCACACUAUCAUUAACUGAAUCCAUAGGUUAAUGAGGCGAACCGGGGGAACUGAAACAUCUAAGUACCCCGAGGAAAAGAAAUCAACCGAGAUUCCCCAGUAGCGGCGAGCGAACGGGGAGGAGCCCAGAGCCUGAAUCAGUGUGUGUGUUAGUGGAAGCGUCUGGAAAGGCGCGCGAUACAGGGUGACAGCCCCGUACACAAAAAUGCACAUGCUGUGAGCUCGAUGAGUAGGGCGGGACACGUGGUAUCCUGUCUGAAUAUGGGGGGACCAUCCUCCAAGGCUAAAUACUCCUGACUGACCGAUAGUGAACCAGUACCGUGAGGGAAAGGCGAAAAGAACCCCGGCGAGGGGAGUGAAAAAGAACCUGAAACCGUGUACGUACAAGCAGUGGGAGCACAGAGCAAUCUGUGUGACUGCGUACCUUUUGUAUAAUGGGUCAGCGACUUAUAUUCUGUAGCAAGGUUAACCGAAUAGGGGAGCCGAAGGGAAACCGAGUCUUAACUGGGCGUUAAGUUGCAGGGUAUAGACCCGAAACCCGGUGAUCUAGCCAUGGGCAGGUUGAAGGUUGGGUAACACUAACUGGAGGACCGAACCGACUAAUGUUGAAAAAUUAGCGGAUGACUUGUGGCUGGGGGUGAAAGGCCAAUCAAACCGGGAGAUAGCUGGUUCUCCCCGAAAGCUAUUUAGGUAGCGCCUCGUGAAUUCAUCUCCGGGGGUAGAGCACUGUUUCGGCAAGGGGGUCAUCCCGACUUACCAACCCGAUGCAAACUGCGAAUACCGGAGAAUGUUAUCACGGGAGACACACGGCGGGUGCUAACGUCCGUCGUGAAGAGGGAAACAACCCAGACCGCCAGCUAAGGUCCCAAAGUCAUGGUUAAGUGGGAAACGAUGUGGGAAGGCCCAGACAGCCAGGAUGUUGGCUUAGAAGCAGCCAUCAUUUAAAGAAAGCGUAAUAGCUCACUGGUCGAGUCGGCCUGCGCGGAAGAUGUAACGGGGCUAAACCAUGCACCGAAGCUGCGGCAGCGACACUGUGUGUUGUUGGGUAGGGGAGCGUUCUGUAAGCCUGUGAAGGUGUGCUGUGAGGCAUGCUGGAGGUAUCAGAAGUGCGAAUGCUGACAUAAGUAACGAUAAAGCGGGUGAAAAGCCCGCUCGCCGGAAGACCAAGGGUUCCUGUCCAACGUUAAUCGGGGCAGGGUGAGUCGACCCCUAAGGCGAGGCCGAAAGGCGUAGUCGAUGGGAAACAGGUUAAUAUUCCUGUACUUGGUGUUACUGCGAAGGGGGACGGAGAAGGCUAUGUUGGCCGGGCGACGGUUGUCCCGGUUUAAGCGUGUAGGCUGGUUUUCCAGGCAAAUCCGGAAAAUCAAGGCUGAGGCGUGAUGACGAGGCACUACGGUGCUGAAGCAACAAAUGCCCUGCUUCCAGGAAAAGCCUCUAAGCAUCAGGUAACAUCAAAUCGUACCCCAAACCGACACAGGUGGUCAGGUAGAGAAUACCAAGGCGCUUGAGAGAACUCGGGUGAAGGAACUAGGCAAAAUGGUGCCGUAACUUCGGGAGAAGGCACGCUGAUAUGUAGGUGAAGUCCCUCGCGGAUGGAGCUGAAAUCAGUCGAAGAUACCAGCUGGCUGCAACUGUUUAUUAAAAACACAGCACUGUGCAAACACGAAAGUGGACGUAUACGGUGUGACGCCUGCCCGGUGCCGGAAGGUUAAUUGAUGGGGUCAGCGCAAGCGAAGCUCUUGAUCGAAGCCCCGGUAAACGGCGGCCGUAACUAUAACGGUCCUAAGGUAGCGAAAUUCCUUGUCGGGUAAGUUCCGACCUGCACGAAUGGCGUAAUGAUGGCCAGGCUGUCUCCACCCGAGACUCAGUGAAAUUGAACUCGCUGUGAAGAUGCAGUGUACCCGCGGCAAGACGGAAAGACCCCGUGAACCUUUACUAUAGCUUGACACUGAACAUUGAGCCUUGAUGUGUAGGAUAGGUGGGAGGCUUUGAAGUGUGGACGCCAGUCUGCAUGGAGCCGACCUUGAAAUACCACCCUUUAAUGUUUGAUGUUCUAACGUGGACCCGUGAUCCGGGUUGCGGACAGUGUCUGGUGGGUAGUUUGACUGGGGCGGUCUCCUCCUAAAGAGUAACGGAGGAGCACGAAGGUUGGCUAAUCCUGGUCGGACAUCAGGAGGUUAGUGCAAUGGCAUAAGCCAGCUUGACUGCGAGCGUGACGGCGCGAGCAGGUGCGAAAGCAGGUCAUAGUGAUCCGGUGGUUCUGAAUGGAAGGGCCAUCGCUCAACGGAUAAAAGGUACUCCGGGGAUAACAGGCUGAUACCGCCCAAGAGUUCAUAUCGACGGCGGUGUUUGGCACCUCGAUGUCGGCUCAUCACAUCCUGGGGCUGAAGUAGGUCCCAAGGGUAUGGCUGUUCGCCAUUUAAAGUGGUACGCGAGCUGGGUUUAGAACGUCGUGAGACAGUUCGGUCCCUAUCUGCCGUGGGCGCUGGAGAACUGAGGGGGGCUGCUCCUAGUACGAGAGGACCGGAGUGGACGCAUCACUGGUGUUCGGGUUGUCAUGCCAAUGGCACUGCCCGGUAGCUAAAUGCGGAAGAGAUAAGUGCUGAAAGCAUCUAAGCACGAAACUUGCCCCGAGAUGAGUUCUCCCUGACCCUUUAAGGGUCCUGAAGGAACGUUGAAGACGACGACGUUGAUAGGCCGGGUGUGUAAGCGCAGCGAUGCGUUGAGCUAACCGGUACUAAUGAACCGUGAGGCUUAACCUUACAACGCCGAAGGUGUUU